UCUACGGGUGGCAGCAGUGGGGAAUAUUGGACAAUGGGCGAAAGCCUGAUCCAGCCAUGCCGCGUGUGUGAAGAAGGCCUUCGGGUUGUAAAGCACUUUCAGUGGGGAAGAAAGCCUUGGGGCUAAUACCCUCGAGGAAGGACAUCACCCACAGAAGAAGCACCGGCUAACUCCGUGCCAGCAGCCGCGGUAAUACGGAGGGUGCGAGCGUUAAUCGGAAUUACUGGGCGUAAAGCGCGCGUAGGCGGUCUGAUAAGCCGGUUGUGAAAGCCCCGGGCUCAACCUGGGAACGGCAUCCGGAACUGUCAGGCUAGAGUGCAGGAGAGGAAGGUAGAAUUCCCGGUGUAGCGGUGAAAUGCGUAGAGAUCGGGAGGAAUACCAGUGGCGAAGGCGGCCUUCUGGACUGACACUGACGCUGAGGUGCGAAAGCGUGGGUAGCAAACAGGAUUAGAUACCCUAGUAGUC
Molecule: ribosomal RNA, 465 nt
Filed under: Vreelandella stevensii
Lineage: Bacteria; Pseudomonadati; Pseudomonadota; Gammaproteobacteria; Oceanospirillales; Halomonadaceae
Description: partial 16S ribosomal RNA
Rfam family: Bacterial small subunit ribosomal RNA
Source: RNAcentral